Molecule: ribosomal RNA, 409 nt
Filed under: bacterium
Lineage: Bacteria
Description: partial 16S ribosomal RNA
Rfam family: Bacterial small subunit ribosomal RNA
Source: RNAcentral
UGGGGAAUAUUGCACAAUGGGCGAAAGCCUGAUGCAGCGACGCCGCGUGAGGGAUGACGGCCUUCGGGUUGUAAACCUCUUUCAGUAGGGACGAAGCGCAAGUGACGGUACCUGCAGAAGAAGCACCGGCUAACUACGUGCCAGCAGCCGCGGUAAUACGUAGGGUGCGAGCGUUGUCCGGAAUUACUGGGCGUAAAGAGCUCGUAGGCGGUUUGUCACGUCGUCUGUGAAAUCCUAGGGCUUAACCCUGGACGUGCAGGCGAUACGGGCUGACUUGAGUACUACAGGGGAGACUGGAAUUUCUGGUGUAGCGGUGGAAUGCACAGAUAUCAGGAAGAACACCGAUGGCGAAGGCAGGUCUCUGGGUAGUAGCUGACGCUGAGGAGCGAAAGCAUGGGUAGCGAACAGG